This is a long non-coding RNA of Brassica napus (rape), 1485 nucleotides long. RefSeq lists it as uncharacterized. The transcript has 3 exons. NCBI's taxonomy places the organism in Eukaryota, Viridiplantae, Streptophyta, Magnoliopsida, Brassicales, Brassicaceae. The record is from RefSeq and is a predicted model, not a curated record.
CAAUUUUUCUGCUACCAUCUUACUUUAUCAGAUCCAAUUCUGAAACAUGGGGUCAUUUUUUGAAUAGGAAGCUAGCUAGUGCUUUGACCAGGUCGUCGUGUCAAGCAAAAGACAUCAACACACAAGGAUCCGACUCCAUAUGACUUCUAUAGUCCACAACAAAAUGCUUACGAAUCAUCAAGUCGUGAUUGUGAAGGAUGAUUACUUUGAUCGGAUGAUGCCUUCGUUCUUCACUUGUUUUCUGUUAAUCAGGUCUUCUCUUUUACUUUUAACCUCUUUUUAAUUUUUUGUCAAACACUUGUUUUAAAAGAUAGAAACCAAAACGUUUUUUUUCCUCAAAACUCCUUUUUCAAAGUUUUUAGAGAAAAAUUUAUAUAACUAGUUUGAUCAUGAAAACCUAAUUGUAAAUUUGUGCUAACAAAUAGAAUACAAUAUCUUUUCAUUAAGAUCGUUUUAGACAUUAUGUUUCAUUUGCUUUGACACUUACUAUCAUUAAGUUUAUCCUAAAACAUUCUAGCAACUAUAAACAAUUUUCUUUUUAGCAAAAAAAAAAACAAUUUUCCUUUUAUUUUUGUUUGUAUUUUUCUGAUAUUUUUGGCAACAAUUGUCUAAAAAAACAGAAAAAAAACGUUUCUUUUCAAAAUUUCUAAAACUUUUCAAGAUUUUUUCUAAGAAUAAAAUUAUAUAACUAGAUUUGAUCACAAAGACUUUAUGUGUAAAUUUGUCACAAACAAAUCUUGUCAUGGUGAUCGGUAGAGAAUAUAUCUUAUUUGAGCUUUAUCGACAAGCAUGCUAAGAACUAAUAUUUUUUGUCAUAAUUAAAUAAAGAUAAACCUUUUAACUUUAAUUUUUAAUAUUUCAAAAAUGCAUUUGAAACUAUAAUUUCCAGCAUCUAAUUACUCUAGUUCGUUAACAAUUAAAAAUUAUCUAUAUUGUUUGUUACUUAGGAAAUCUAUGUUUUCAUUAUAAACCCAACUUAUUAAUCCUAAUUAUCAGAGUGUUUUAAUGUAUAAACUCAAAUUCUUACAAGUAUAUCAUACCUGUGAAGUAAUAAAUGUUGUCUUUGAUCUUUUCUUGGAUAAACUCUUUUUUUUUGGGCAAACGAUAUCUUUGAUCUUUAAUUUUUUUUUGAAGUUUCAUUUAUUUACAUUAUGACAUGGCAAUAGAGACUAUUGUUUAUCUUGGUUUGAAAUUUGAGUUUCACCGAAGCCAUUCUCAGCGUUACUUAACUUACUUCGUUUGCUCCACUCGCCGUCGCUUCACCUUCACAUCUCCUAUCCGCCGAUCAUCUAUCAAUGGUUACGGGUUCGCCGGAUCUGCUCAUUUUAGGAAUGGGUUCACCGGAUCUAUGUUUGUAUAUAUAUGGUAUAUAUGUAUGCAUAAGUAUAUGCUUAUAUUUUUAUCCCUAACUCUAAACCCUAUCUAAAAGUUAACCUCAAAACUCCAUCCAAACUUAAACCCUAUCAUAAUAUUAAAUCAUACCAU